GGGGGCGUUGGCGAUGAGAUCAAGCAAGGGAUAAGCAUGUAGAAGCCUGGGCUGAAAGCUUUCGGACGGGGGUUCGAUUCCCCCCGCCUCCACCA
This 95-nucleotide transfer RNA is filed under the name Desulfarculus baarsii DSM 2075. RNAcentral describes it as "tRNA-Und (NNN) (tRNA-Und-NNN-1-1)". It matches the Rfam family "transfer-messenger RNA", at positions 276 to 374 of the family's 374-position model. Rfam says of the family: Bacterial tmRNA, also known as 10Sa RNA or SsrA, is named for its dual tRNA and mRNA-like properties. The record is from RNAcentral. Lineage: Bacteria; Pseudomonadati; Thermodesulfobacteriota; Desulfarculia; Desulfarculales; Desulfarculaceae.